This 665-nucleotide ribosomal RNA is filed under the name Staphylococcus pseudintermedius. RNAcentral describes it as "partial 23S ribosomal RNA". It matches the Rfam family "Bacterial large subunit ribosomal RNA", at positions 837 to 1503 of the family's 2925-position model. The record is from RNAcentral. Lineage: Bacteria; Bacillati; Bacillota; Bacilli; Caryophanales; Staphylococcaceae.
ACUUGGAGAUAGCUGGUUCUCUCCGAAAUAGCUUUAGGGCUAGCCUCAAGUGAUGAUUAUUGGAGGUAGAGCACUGUUUGGACGAGGGGCCCCUCUCGGGUUACCGAAUUCAGACAAACUCCGAAUGCCAAAUAAUUUAACUUGGGAGUCAGAAUGUGGGUGAUAAGGUCCAUAUUCGAAAGGGAAACAGCCCAGACCACCAGCUAAGGUCCCAAAAUAUAUGUUAAGUGGAAAAGGAUGUGGCGUUGCCCAGACAACUAGGAUGUUGGCUUAGAAGCAGCCAUCAUUUAAAGAGUGCGUAAUAGCUCACUAGUCGAGUGACACUGCGCCGAAAAUGUACCGGGGCUAAACAUAUUACCGAAGCUGUGGAUUGUCCUUUGGACAAUGGUAGGAGAGCGUUCUAAGGGCGUUGAAGCAUGAUCGCAAGGACAUGUGGAGCGCUUAGAAGUGAGAAUGCCGGUGUGAGUAGCGAAAGACGGGUGAGAAUCCCGUCCACCGAUUGACUAAGGUUUCCAGAGGAAGGCUCGUCCGCUCUGGGUUAGUCGGGUCCUAAGCUGAGGCCGACAGGCGUAGGCGAUGGAUAACAGGUUGAUAUUCCUGUACCACCAUUAUUCGUUUUAAGCGAUGGGGGGACGCAGUAGGAUAGGCGAAGCGUGCUGUUGGAG